Molecule: long non-coding RNA, 4284 nt
Organism: Cynoglossus semilaevis (tongue sole)
Lineage: Eukaryota; Metazoa; Chordata; Actinopteri; Pleuronectiformes; Cynoglossidae
Exons: 4
Source: RefSeq, a predicted model, not a curated record
AGAGAUUAGAGCAAAUGUAGACAGGCACCCUAAAGGGCACCUUUUGGGUCUUCCUGGUGAACUUGUCAUUUGACCAGAGGAGCCAGUGUUUGGUCACAUUUACUGAUGCCUGUGUCUAUGUGUUUUCAGAGCUGCAGGAAAUUGAAAAAGAAAAUUGUGGAGAGUGUCAGUGAAGGGAGGGAGGGAAGAGGUGGAGGACGACAGGUUUUCUGGGACACAGUACACGGAAAUGAACUAGCCUUGCAUGACCUGCUCUCAACCACAAGGAUGCACAGGGAGGAGGAGCAACAGCGGGAAAAAACUGACACCAGACCAGUACCGAAUGACCUGCGGACCUGCACCGAUCCCCGGACCGGAGGUUGAGGACUCCUGAUUUAAAGGACUUGACAGCCACUCUGGCUUCUUUAAAGGCUUCUGUCACAGACAACAGUGCCGUUUCAAUGGAGUACCUGGUUUUAGAGCUGGAUUGGUUAGAGUCAAGGAGGAGGGGUUUUGAGAAAGAAAUUCCGUUACCUUUACCAGUCAGACUCGGCUCCUUCCAGUCCAUCAAAGUCCCUUUUUAGAGGCGGGUUUUUAAGGAAACCUUGAGGUGGAUGAAGCUCGGCACUUAUGUUGCUGUGGAGACCAUGUGGACUGGUCGUCAGGUCAGAUUGAGAGUAAUAGCUUUAGAGGCUAUGACACAUUUUUAUACCAUUUUCGAAACAGACCUUCAGAUAUUGUGGUAAUUUAUUCACCUGAGGGAAAAUAUAACGUAUGUAUGGAUGAAGAUGAUGAAUAUAAAAUGAGUUCAAAGCAACAGCAAUGCCAAUUCUAGUUGAACGAUUGUGUCAGCAGUAAAUAUACUAGAAUGAGUUACACAGGGGUGUCAAACAUACAGCCCGCGGGCCAAAAGCGGCCCAUUAUGGGGGUUCAAUCUGGCCCACUUAAUGAAUUUUGACACUUUGUGUUGGUGAUGUUUUGUCAAAUUAUAUUUCACUAAAUAUGAAUUUUCUUUGCUUAUUUGCAGAGAAAACAAGGGGAUCGGGGUGGACUCAUUGUUAUUUAUAGGUAAUUAUUGGGGAUGUCCGAUAUUAACUUUUUGCCGAUAUCCGAUAUGCCGAUAUUGUUCAAACACCUAAUUUCCGAUACCGAUAUAACCAAUACCGAUAUAGAUCUGUUAAAAUUUAUUUUUAUAUUUGUACAAACCACUGUAUGAGUAUGAGAUUAAGUGCUGCCAUCUAGUGACGAUCACUUUAAUACACAGCCGUUUGUCUGGCGAUUCUUACAUAUCGGGCGGAUAAUAUUGGACAUCCCUAGUCAUUAUGUUAUGAUUGUACUGGUCCGGUCCACUUGAAACCUAAUCUGGGCCGUAUGUGGAACAAAAAUGAGUUUUUACACUCCGAGUUACAUGAUCAUCAUCAUCAUCAUCAUCUGCAUCAUCUUGUUCUAGUGUGUUCUUAGAUAAAACAUCACAAAGUAGCGCCAUAAACAUUUACUCUUGCAAAGGAGUGGUUUAAUAUUCUAUGAUAAGACAAGGACCAACUAGCAUUAGUACUGUCUCCAGGGCAAAACUGCAUAAAAUACAUUCUAUAAAUCUAGAGUACUAUGUUUGUCUACAAAUGAAUGGUCACAGUGCUGCCUUUUGCUGACCACUGAACAAAGGUCACAGCGCAGCACUGUUAUUCACCACUAUAAACAGUCCAUGCUCAGCACCCAAAGGCCAAGUUGCACCAGCAGAGUUGUCUGGAACCCUGUGAGGCAGGUGCACACUGAUUUGAUGGGCUGCAAGGUUGGGACAGUGACCAGGCAGAUACUUCCAAAGGCUGUGAAGUUGGCUCACUUCCUAUCCUUCAGCCAAUCCCAGGAAAAAUAAAAAAAGGAAUCACGCCUCUGGCAGGUUUUAUACAGGCUGAGCAUCGCUGAUCGAAUAACCAAAUAAAAAUCUACAUCAGUGGACCAAAGACUAACAGAGCAGAGGUGACAGCCGGUGUUAGCGGGCUGAGACGACAGUGUUGUGUUUCACCCACUACGCUCCCCGUGUUCUUGACCGUGUUAUUUUUGUGAUCGCUGCUUUGUGAGUGCCAGAGCAUUCGUACGUAGAAGGAAGGACGUAAAUAGCAGUGCCAAAAACAUCCAUCACUGUACUGAUGACAACUGUAAAGAGAUCCCCCCCCCUCCACCCCGCUGUAAUAAAGGCUAUUGGUUGGAUUCUAUUAAUCACACCAGAUCAAAAUCAAUACAAGAGCCAAUAGGAAAAUAAUCUGAGGGAAUAUAUCACCUAUGAAAAGGUUGUCGCAGUGGAAUUAAAGUCACAUAAUCAGCAGACAGCGCAUUAAACCAAAAUGUUUUUUUGUUUGUUUUUUUUUUUACUACAAAUGACGUCCCUUUGUUCAUUGAUUUCAAGUGUAUUCACCGGACAGAAUCAACAGGACAUACAGCAGAUUAGACACUGCUGUCUGUCAAAUAAGAGUUGAUUAAUGUUCAUUCUCAAGGCAGAUCAGAAUUUUCAACAUGCAUGGAAAUGUUGUGUGAAGAUCUAUCGUAUGAGACCCAUUUGUAAGAGAUGGUGAUGCGUAAUGGCUUUUGUCAUCCAACUGUGACAAACAAAAAUAGAGGACUCCUCUGUUGACACCUUUCAAUGCUUUCUGCACAUUUUUAUUUCUAUAUGUUCAGUACAUGUGUUCAGGCUCAGCAGGACUUAGUAUCCUCCACAUGUAACAUCGAUUUCACUUUGUAUCUUUUUUUUUGUGAACUGUCUCUUGGAACUUUGGAUAAUUUUUUGCCAAUUUAAUUGUUCAGUAUAUAUUUUUUUACCUUUUGGUCCUGCUGUAUAAUUUGGUUUUUGCAAAUGUAUCGUUUUCAUAAAACUACUGAAUUAAAAAAUUAAAAAUAACCCCCUGCUGGACACAUUUAAUACAGCAGUAGCAUCACCUGUGUCAAAUCCAAAAUAAGGCCAAAGCCCAAUUUUUAACAUUUUUUGCAUAAAUUUCCUUCCCCUUUGCUCUUUGCGUUUUAUUUAAUAUUUAAUAUCUAAAUUAAUAACCACCCAUUCAUAGUUAACGGGCAAAUAUAACCACACAUGCAUUUUGCUACUUGAGUGAAAACAUGUCGCAUAUACAUAUCUAAUGAUUGAAAUUACUUUUGUUUGAUUGUUUUUUUCUAACUCCAGCAUACUUUUUCUUUGAACAUAAAACCUACUUUUUUGUAAUUCUACAUUCCUUAAGGUUGCCGCAUGACGGAUGCAGCACGUGCUCUCUGUUUUUGUGUCCUGUCAGCUGUUCUUUAUCGUUCUAUAGUUGUCAACGUGCGUUGUGCUUUUAUUGUGAAAAGGUAUUUCCGGCCCGGGAAAUGACUACAUCUCUCUUGACCAAACCGCUGCACUGGACCUGGACGGAGCUGCUUUUUCCCCCCCUUUGGCAGCGGUUUGCAGUCAGUGUGUUUUCUACCUGUCCGCUUCCACUGCUGCUAAGAAAGGACGCGAAUUGAGUCAAAAACACAGGAAACCGGUAAGAAAAGCAGCUUCUUCUUUUAAACUGUCGCAAGUGAGGGAGGGUUUGACAGUGGGGACAAAGUUUGGAUUCUGGCUGCGCCUAGAGCUGUGUGAUGCGAUUGGUUUUUGUUUUUGGGUGUUUUUUUUUGUAAUAUAAAUAAAUAAAUCGUUUUUUUGUUGAAUUGUUAGUAGGAAGUUAAUCGUCAUGCAUGUAUUUCUUGUUAAAUUAACUGGACAAUCAUUGGUGACGGAAUAUCUGAAAAAAAUGACUCAUUAAAAUGCAUACGGUAGAACCUGCGCAGUAAAUAAAUGAGGUAAAAACAAUGUAAUAAUGUCAAUGCAGAAUUCAUUUUGACUUUUUGUUUCUUAAGAAGUUAUUUAUCGUCUGCAGUCACCUGCUAAUUGAUUUUGGAAUCACUUCCUUCUCUCGUGUCCAUCUCCUAACCGCAUCUUACUUAAUAGUGUUUUCCUUUAAAAUAGUCGAUACGUUCUUCUCUGAGUUGCAGCCCUUUUAAUAUGACAUUUUAUAUAUGAGAUAAAAAUAUUCAAACUCUUAUUCCUUUAAAGAAAGCAAAAAUCAAUCAGGUGGAUAGAGUUUCCUUGAAUUAGAAUAUUGUGUUUUUGUUGCGACUUAAUACAGCCUCUGUCUACUGUCUCCUGUGUAGUAUUUUGUAGGAAUUGGUACUAUUUAAGACGUCCUAGUGGGUUUUUGCUGACUUUGACAAAAAAAAAAUAUAUGUACUGUGUAAACUUGUUUGUUACGAGCGUCAGAGUUGAAGUAUAUGGACAACUCCCUGUGUGUAUGCGUGUGCGUC